This 505-nucleotide ribosomal RNA is filed under the name uncultured bacterium. RNAcentral describes it as "partial 16S ribosomal RNA". It matches the Rfam family "Bacterial small subunit ribosomal RNA", at positions 28 to 507 of the family's 1533-position model. The record is from RNAcentral.
GACGAACGCUGGCGGCGUGCCUAAUACAUGCAAGUAGAACGCACAGUUUAUACCGUAGCUUGCUACACCAUAAACUGUGAGUUGCGAACGGGUGAGUAACGCGUAGGUAACCUGCCUGGUAGCGGGGGAUAACUAUUGGAAACGAUAGCUAAUACCGCAUAAUAUUGAUUAUUGCAUGAUAAUUGAUUGAAAGAUGCUAUUGCAUCACUACAAGAUGGACCUGCUUUGUAUUAGCUAGUAGGUGAGGUAACGGCUCACCUAGGCGACGAUACAUAGCCGACCUGAGGGGGUGAUCGGCCACACUGGGACUGAGACACGGCCCAGACCCCUACGGGAGGCAGCAGGAGGGAAUCUUCGGCAAUGGACGAAAGUCUGACCGAGCAACGCCGCGGGAGUGAAGAAGGUUUUCGGAUCGUAAAGCUCUGUUGUAAGAGAAGAACGGGUGUGAGAGUGGAAAGUUCACACUGUGACGGUAUCUUACCAGAAAGGGACGGCUAACUACGUG